CCACCAUCACUGAUGGGGUUGGCCUUGACCAGAGGUGGGUCCGACUUGGAGCCGGGGAAGCUUCUCGCAGCUUCUCACAGGAGCCACCCCUGUGGCCCCCUCUCCUGCUACCAAGAAACCCCGCCACACAAACCCAUAACAGGCACAAUGCCAAGACGGUUGUAUUAAACGGUCUCUGCAGAUCCCUUCAAGUUCUGAAUUUCCAAUUUCUAACAAAUACCACAGCUAGCUAGCUGUGUUCAUACAAUAGCUAGCUCCCUUUGUGAAUAACUUGUAAGAAAGAGAAAAUACUUAGAGCCCACUGAGCCCAGUACCCUGAAGCCAGCAACACUAGUUACAGGUGCCUUAAGAAAAAGAUGAGUGCGGGGCAAAUGUAAUCUUCCUCCCUUUGCAUUCAAACCUUUUCAAAUUUACUGCCUUUUCAGCAGUGCAGACUUGACCUGUACAACAUGCUGAAGAUGUGAGCUCCAUAGCUCAAGAUCUCUUUUCUCUCUCUCUCUUUUUUUUUUUUUUUUUUUUUAAUCUGCUAAUAGGCUUAUUGACCUCUUUAUCUUUUUACUAUGAACAAAACCAGUGGACAGUUACUCUUUCCCCUUUUCCAUGUCAUUUGUGUUAUUAUAGACUUCCAGCAUAACUGCUUUGUCCCCCGAAGUAACAGUGUUGCUUGUACUACGUUGAUUUAAAGUUUAGCACUGUAAAAAUGUGAAAGCACAUCUGCUUUUAAUAACUGGAGGCUGAAAAUUGCAAGAUUACUGUACUUUCUGAGGUAAUAAUUGCAAUUUUACAGUUUCUACAAAAUGUUUAAAAGUUAGCUUCUGCACUUACAGUGUGGAACACAAGUUAGAAGCAAAAAAGCAUGCUGCUUCAGUUUGAGUAUGUUUUGCUAAAGAACAUAGACACUAUUUUAUAUAGGCACUCAUAUUAGUUAUGUAUCAUCCCUAUUUUUAUACACGUUAGCCAUCUUGGUCAAACCGAAAGACUUACUCUUGCUUAACAUCAAGAUGAACACACAUUGAAGGAUUCACCCACAAGCUGCAUUAACCUUUAUCUCAUUAACAGAGAAAAGCAUUUUCAAUAUGAUUAAAAUCAAAAGCCCGGCAGUAAAAACUUAGGCAUUUUUAACUCUUAAACCCUUUCUUAUGCAAACUUACCCUUCAGGCCUUUAAAAUGUUGUUUGUAUCCACUUGUUUUUUUCUAUUGCCCUUCUGCUUGUACAUGCUAGAAGCAGGCUCAGCAGCAGCCAGUGUGUUUUCCUGUCGGUAGAGGUCUAACCUAUAAAUGAAACCAGACAAUAUUGUAGAUGGUAAAUAUGAUACAGGGUGAGAAAGACUGAAGGGCCCGGGGUAUUAUUAACAAUAUGUGUGUGUGUGUCUGUCUGUCUUUAGACAGACAGUAGGUGUGAUCACCACCGCAGGCCAUUUCACGCUGUCUCAGACAAGACUGUGAAAGCACCUUGCAGUGAAUUGUCAAAAAUCAGUAGGACUGCUUCUGUUCUUCAGCAGUCCUUGCCAAGAAGUGAAGCAUCAAAGGCGCACGCACAAACACAUGAAAUAUCUUUCUGUCUCAUAAAUGUUCCUGCUAGCGAGCUUUGAACCAGGCUGGAUGGCUGGAAGCAACCAUGUUAGAGAUGAACUGGAUGGUUUUUGUUGAUAGCACUUUUUCUUUUGAUAGGAAGACAUGGGUCUAUUGACAGAAUUUCAAACCAGUUGUUUUCAAAGCAUUAAGUUUUACUUUCAGACACCACUUUAUAAUCAUGCUUUAAUACUAUUCAAAUAAUUGACUAUGGCUAUUUCUAUUGCCUCCUGUGUGUGCUCAAGUACAGUAGAGAGAAGUGCCAGAAUAAGAUGUCUGUGCUGUCUGAUUUGGGAACUCCAGUCUGCAUACAAGAGCAGGAAGGGGUGUAUUCUAAUGUAUGCUAUUGAUAGGGUUUGUGGGAGAUCCCCCUGUAGAGAUAUGUUUUCCUGUGCCCCUCCCUUGCCUCAGUUAACCUGUGAACACCCUUUUUUUUUCACUUUAUGCUGGACAUAACCUUUUUUUUGCAUACAAAAGGUGUUUUGAACAAGAAGCAGCAGGGGUGCUUUUGCCAGGUUUGUGCCAUCAAAAGUACACCAGACAAGGAGAAUUUUUCCUGAAAUCUGUAGCUGGUGAGGGAUCAUUUUGCAUAGCUGUAGUGUAGCCUUAGUAAGUGGAACGCCUGGGCUAAUUUUAGUGGAACUACUUUGUAUGUAUUUCAGGUAUAUCUGGCAGCAGUUUUGUACCUCCAUUUAAACAAAAAGGAAAAAGAAAAUUCUGGAGGACCCUUUGCUUAAAAUUUUCAGCAGGUUGACUAUUAUAUUUUGUAGCUACCUCCAGCAGGAAUUCUGAAAGUUCAAUAGUACAGACUGGGUAGGUAAACAUAGAGAUGUAUAAGUAAUGUAGAAAAAAUUCUGUUUCACAUACUCUGGUUAACAUAGUCACUGAGUGUAUAUAUAUAUGGUUCAUGAAUUUACUGAGGAGGUAGCCUCCUGUCCAGUUGUCAGAAUUCUUCUGAGUUGAACUGUGGGACAUGGGUUUUGACUAACUUAAUGAAGGCUAUUCCACAACGAACAUUACCAGGGAUGACACCGUAUCUCAAUAAUUGCUCUCUGAGUGAAAAAAUAGAUUAUUUCAGAUCUCUACAAAAAAUGAGAGAUGAGGUGUAGAAUGCUACUUGCCGUGUGAAACUGCAGACAAUGCCAGUGAAGGUGCAAGAAGAUAUCAGCCCUAGAGGCUGUGCUGUGAUCAAAGUCUGGAAAAUCCUGGGUUCUGAGGAGGAUCAUCAGGGAAAAUACGGCGGGCGCCUGAAAAAGGCUCCAUCCUGGCAAGGUGCCAUAUGUAUAUCAGGAAUGCUCUGGUGUUUUAUCUUGUUGCUGUUGCAGAGUGAUUAGCAGCAAUGGAACUUCUUACUCAGUAAAGCAUUCCCCAUGAGGGUAGAGUCACAUGCACUGUUAGGACCGGGAAGUUUUGUACACAUAAACACGUGCACAUGGAAUCACAGAAUCACAGAAUGGUUGAGGUUGGAAGGGCUUCUGGAGGCUGAACUUGUGCCAAUGUUUUGUGUUUUUCAUUAUGAAAGACAACAUCAGUUAAAAGUCAACUCUAUGAAACAAAACAAAGUCCAGCUCCCUCUGUUCUGUACAGCAUAUAGAAUAAUCCCUGCUGUUAGCAGUGACUAAAAAUAUGUGGAGGAAUCAAAUCUGUUUAGUCAGUAAGUGACUGUAACAGGCUUUCAGAUACAUAGCUACUACUAACAGGGCGUUCUGGGAUAGCAGUAAACUACAGUAAUCUAGUGUUAACAAACAGUAAACAGUGGUAGAUACAGUGUUUUAAGUGUGAAUCACGAAGUGCAAACUAACCAUUGUGUUCUAGGAAAAAAUAUAUUUUGACGUUGUUUCUUCCCUCAUUUGUAGUAGUUGGCAAAAAUCUAAUCUUUGCACAAAGACUACUUCUUCAUCUACCACAAGUUUUGUGAUGCUCUACAAUACUAGUGUCUGAUGUUGACUGGUGUUAAGCAACUGUGUGACCUUUCUAGAAGUCAGCCAUGCUGCUUUGUGCCUCUCAGGGGUCAAGCCCAGAGCAUUCACAAGGCUUCAGAAGCAGUAUUGCCGAUGACUUCUAAAACAAAUUAAUUUUCAUUGUAACUGUGGCCCAAACUGUGCAAAAUUUUCUCACAUCCCUAAUUCACUGGAGUCAUCAAGACCAUUCAUGUGAGCAAUUUACUGAGCUUCAUUUGUCUUGCUCUGUGCUGUAGAUAUUGGGCUGCUAUUUUCUUCUCCCAUACAACUUCUUUUCAACUAAAACUCUAGUUUUAAAUCUCAUUUGUGUUAACAAAGGAAUUCCUUUUAAAGUAUCAUCCAGUUAGGCAUAUUCUUUUAAGGAAUAUAAUUUCCCACUUGCAUGUUAUUCUGAGCUUGCAAAGUGUCUUCUGACAGUAAAAAGUUGAUCUCGGAUUCUCACUUAGAACGAGUAAGCAUAGAUCCAGUGCCUGCAAGAUAUAUCAAAUGAAAAGGGCUGUCUGAAUAAUAGAAGAGAAAAAAUAAUCUACCAUUCUUCGGUACAGAUUUGCAAUUUCAGCAGCAGAUGGCUCAGAUACAGCAGGGUCUGCCUAUAUGAAUAGCAACAUUGUUAUUCAUCUAUCAGCCUCAUUACACCUAGGCAGUCUGUCUGUGCCCUGUUACAGGCACCCUAUUGUAACCCGAGAAUACAUUUUGAUCAAGAUGUAUAAUCCUGGCAUUAAAUAAGAACAUUUUAAAAUGGGAUUUUUGUGAGGAUGAUUAACAUGGCAUCCCAAAUUCUGAUCCUACUGUGAUGAGAAGAAGAAUGAAUUCUUCACCACUGCAUUUUGAAUCUUGGCACCUUGAGACAUUCUAGUGACUCAGAAGGCUGGAUUUGCUUACUUAUCUGCAUAUUGAAUUUCAAGACCAAUGAUAGACCUUGAUGAUAGAAAAAUAGUCUGUAAUCAUCGGAAAGAUUCUCAUUAAAAUAAUGACAUUGCAAAAAGCUUUAAUAGCAAAUGAGGAAGUAUCAACUUCUUUGAAGUGCAUAGAUUCAGUACUAGACAGAGGAGGGGUUAUGGCUAGCUUUCAUUUAGUAACUGAACUGAAAUAGAAGCAGGGAACGUAUACAACUGGAAUUAGGGCACAGUGUGUUUAAGGUUUUCAAAGAAGAUUAAAAAUAUCAGGAUUUGCAUUUGUUAUACAAUCAGGCAAAAUGUAGGGCCAGGGGAAGCUACCUUUUAAAAGAUGCCUACUUGGUAUUUUUAGAUCUUAAUAAAGCCUUUAAAUUUCUAUUCAAAACAUAUUUGUUUAACACAUUUGUUUAAGAAGCUGAAUCAGUUUCUGGGAUUUGUAGUGACUGAAAUUUCCAACCAUUUGCUUUCAGACAUGCAUUUGCAGGAACACCCAGUAUGGAUGAAAAGCAGUGAACAAAUUAGGAAUAUAAACAAAGACUGAGGAGUGGGUUGUCAGAAAGUGGAAGGUGGCCACCAGCUGCAGUAAGUGGAGCCAGGACUAUCUGUUCCCCCUUAGAAAUUUACCCUUUAGAAAGUAGCCUUGGUGUACUGGAAGAGAACAUGAGAUAUAUAUCAGAAAACAGCUCUGAGGGGUGAGAACAGAAUCUAGAAUAAAGAUUUUCGUAUACACAAACACUCAUAACUGAAAAACUCAAAGCUCAGAAGGGCACUGACUGGAGAGUACUGAGAUAGGGAAGCAAGUCAUCAGAGACUUAAAGACAGGGAGGGGAUCUCAAGUGGCUGUGCUGCAGAAAAUGCCUGUUUGGCUCUCACCUAAGAUAUAAGCCAUCAAAGAAGGCUCAUAUCAAAGUAAAGCUCACAAAUUUGUGAGCACACCAAGAAGAAAAUAUUUCCUGGUGAGGCUAAUGGGGAAGAGAAAGCAAUUUCAACAGUAGCUUAGUAGUGACAGGACAAAGUAGUUGUAAUUAAAUGGUAUGAAUGAUAAAUGUUUAAGCCACGUUGUUCAGCAAAGAGAACUACUGAGGUGGUUUCUGUUACAUAGUUUGGCAUAUAUGUCUUUGAUCUGUGUACCUUUUACAACUAUCAAAAAGCAAUUUGGCCAUCCAAGCAGCCAGCUUCACAAGAAAUUGCUCUAGUGAUUUACUGUUUAAGGUUGGACAAACCAACUACCCUUGUUUUAUGUUGCUGAAUUCUAACAUAGGUGUGGAAGCAUCUGUGCGUUUGACAGAAUGGUUGAGGUUGGAAGGGACCUGUGGAGAGCAUCUGGUCCAACCCCCCUGCUCAAGCAGGGUCACCUACAGCCAGUUGGCCAGGACCAUGCCCAGACAGCUUCUGAAUAUCUCCAAGGAUGAAGAUCCCACAACUUCUCUGGGCAACCUGUGCCAAUGCUCAAAGCCCUUUCUAUGGUGAUUUCUACACAACAGCCCUGCUAUAUCUGGUUGUGUGGACAAACAUGGAUUUCAACAACCAAAUGCAAUGCAAGUUAAUGAAGCACACUAUACCCAUAAGUGAAAGAAAUUUGUAUUUCACCUGCUGGAAAUUCCAAAAUAGAAGUAUCUAAAGAAAAGUGUGCUUGAAUACUAUGACUCUGGCCAUGCACGUUUUCAUCAGCAACUGAAGCACCAUAGUCUCUUCAGAUGAUAGGAAGAUCAGCAUGUCUCUUCACAAAACCAAAGUGAAACUCAUGGACAGCUAGAAAUUUCAGGGAAAUCUAAUUUUAUACUCCAGUGUGUGAAAUAUAAUUUAUGGGGUGGGGGUGAUGGUACGCAUUACAUCAAGGUGACGUGCUACUAAGAGGAAGAAUUCAGAUGACAAUUUCUCCAGAAAAACCUGACUAGACAUUCUGGCAAAACACUGUUUCUUUGUUUAUAGUAAUUCUUCCAUUCGGCCUGUUGUGGACCUUACUGAAAAUUUCCAGAGGCUUUCAAUGAUUAAGGAGUAUAUAUUUUUUUUGCUUUCAAUGGGUUAUAAAAACUAUCCUUUAAAAAAAAUAAAGAAAUAUCCAAAUUAUUCCUUGUUUUUUCACAGAAAAUAGUCUUCCUCUUGCCCUUGCCCUCCUGUGACUGUAGAACAUGAAGCUCUUGUAUCUACUCUACCUCAGCUGUGGUAUUUAAGUAAUGGGCUGAAAGUGAAAAAUGGGGCUAAGAGGAAAAGAAAAUUUACUGUAGCUAAAACCAGUGAGCUUUAGUUGAUUUAUUUUUGGUUGUUAGCAUUGGGGUUUUUUUGUUGUUGUUGUUUUCAAAAUUGAAACUAAUCUCAUGAGGCAAACUAAGGUGAAGUGGCUUGUCCAAAGUCACCCAAGACACAGCCCUGGUCUCCUGGAGCACAGUUUAUUGAUGUCUGUCCACCCCUUACAGUGGUGGUUACUACAGCACCUGCCCCAAGAGUAAGAGGGUAGGGCUGUAUUUCAAGGCUGCAUCAGUCUAAGGUAGUUUUAAUCUGUAUUUCAGGAAAACACCUCAGCCACCGGGUACUGUGAAUUCAGACUGAGUUUGUUUUUCAUGCCUCCCUUGAAGGCUGGCCAUGCUAUUACUUGAAGAUUAAAGUCAAAUAGUCAACAAGGCAGCAAAUAAGAAGGCAAUCAAUUCUAGUCCUGUUGCUGAAGCAAGUAGGGUGUAGGUUCAGCCCAACAAUAUUGAUGAAUCUUGACAGCUGUUCUCCCACUUAGGGUUAUAGCCUCUGGUUUUGAACCAGGGACAGUCUAGGGUAAAAUACAUGCACUUGCCUGGUAGCAGAGCAUGAUAUCCCCCACUGUGCCCUCUUUCAGAUGAGAGCACACAGAGUCCUGCUUGCCUACUACACUUCUGGCCCCGUGACUGGCAUUGUUGACUGCAUGGCCUUAGGAAGGCUGGAGAGUGCCCCCUCUUCCACUUCAACCCUCCCAAAAGGGCCUUCACCUGCUGCUUAAGAUACACUUCUACAAGUUGGAAGAUGUUGUUUCACUUCCUGAUAUGAAAAAUGUCUUGCUUUCUUCUGCUGCUCCCAACAUUUUAACAUCACUGGGAGACUCUUUGGUUGUACUUUAGGAUAAUGAAAAUAUUUGCAGACAUGCAAAAACAUGCUCUGUAUGGGCUUUAGAGGAUGACUACUUUAGAAGAUGCAGUGAGGAUAAGACAAUGAUACAUAAUUGCAGCUAAUUUUUUUGGUUGUCAGGUUUUAGUGUCUUAUUUUAGGCCUAUUGCUAUGGUUUUGAUAGAUUUCAUUGGAAGAUUACAUGCUGGUGCAACAGCUUUUUGAUAAAAAUUGUCUUUAGUUGGUUGGAAUGGAAUUUAGGGCUUAAACAAGCUAAAGAAGAACUCAAAUUUCAAGGCCAGGUCAGACAAUCAUGUAAAUCUACAGCUAUCACUUUUUAAGAGACUGAAAUGAUAACGACCACACUUCAAUUGUUUCAUGAAAGAUCUUCAAGCAAAGCUUAUUUUUUUUUUCCCUUUGGAGAACUGGGAUUUCUUUAUCUUAAUGAAAUUCUUGUCUAUGGCACUGGUCUUUCUCCUUUCCUCCCAUAAAGCAAAAAAUUACCCUUUUUUUCCCAGCUAUAACCUACUCUGCAAAUACAAACAUAUGCACAUUCUGAAGACUUACUGCACUCCUACCAAGGUAAAAAAACCCCUUCGUUGAGCUGUUGCGGCACUGGAAUCUUGGGCAAAUGCAAAAAAGGAAGACUUUGUAUCCAGUGAGGCUGGUUGCAGCUGUGCUGGAAUUGUCCAGCGAUACAGGGAAAAUUAUUGUUUGUUAACAAAAUCUGAAGCUACUGCUUUAGUUCAAUAUUUGGUUCAAUCCAAACUGCUCUAACAGUUGUACAACAUGAAGUUUUUAUACAUACACAAAAAUUCAGAUGUGAAUGUGGAGCAAUUUGGGUUUUUUCUUCUAUCUGACCUUGGUGAUUAGCAGGUGGACAGCAUCUGAUUUUUGUAUGUUUAAAAAAACCUAGAAAUGUUUAGUCUAUCCAUGUAAACUCUUAAGAAAAAAAUCCCCUCAUUUUCAAAAAACUUUUCUGCAUGAAAUUUUGAUGCUUCUGUAGAAGUGUUUUGGGGUUAGGCAGAAUAAUUUGGCUUAUAGCUGCCAAUUGAAAUAUGAAGUGUUUAGAAAAAAAUGUGCAUAUUUAAUCUCUCAUGGUUUUCAGAGAAGCAUCUGCAGUUUGUUUUAUUGUAGUAUUUAGAUACAUAUUCAAGUUCUUUCUUCAGCAAGUCCAUCUUUCCUUCGUAGCUAAAACUGGCAUAUAAAUUUACAUAGACAAUAUACAGACUGGUCUAGACAAGAAGCAUGACAGAUAAUUUGGACCAGAGAUAACUGGAUCUUGAAAGGUGAUCAUAGAAAUGUCCAGGUAUAGGUAAAGCCCCUUAACAUGGAUAGGAUACGUAUUUUCACUUGGAGCAGAAAGCUGAAUGACAGUCUGUGUUUCUGAAUGUUUUGUAAAUAUUUUGGACCUCUGCUGUAGUUUGCAAAACUAUUUGUAGAAAUCUUCUCUGCAGCAGACACACCUGGAAGAUCGCCAACCCUGUCUGCUGGACCCAGAGCCAGGAAUCACAUGCUUUUCCUGCCUAUGCCCUAGUUCAGUUUCUGAUUCGUUUUAUCUUUCUUUUUUGUUGUUGUUUUAAAUCUCCCCAAACCUGUGUAUCCUGUGUCUUACCUCAUCGAUAGUUUAGGACAUGGUAUGGCUUCACAAAAAAACCCAGAAAAUGUGGUCAUUUUUAAGUGGUUUCUUGGUAUGCAGAACUCAAGGUUACACAACUAAAAACUGCAUGUACCGAGCUUUGUUUUGCAUGUGAGGAAAUGUAUCAAGCAUUAAGUGUGAGACUGACCGCUUCGGCCUGAACCCGCUUUCUGUGCUACCUCCUUCGGCGCGGGACUGGGCGGCAGAGUCCCGGGGUCUCGGGUGUUUAAAAGCAGUCUGUGGGAAGGGUGACCGCCGGAGGGGUCCUACCCGAUGCAGCCAGGCCAGGGGAGAAAGCGUGGGCUGUUUGAGACGACCUGUACAGAUACGGUAAUUAAUUCCUGCGCUCGCCCCUCUUCACAGAGGCCGCUCAGUCGGGGCUUUCGGCAGCUUCUCUGACGUGAGCUCCCCAAACUGCCAGGGCUCCCCCCUGCCCAAGCAUCUAUUCAGUGUUGAUCACUGAAUGUGCACCUUGUGGAAAGCAGUCACGGCUCCUCUGUGUUGUAAAAGCAAAGUACAAAAGACUGGGUUUGCUCCAUCGAGGGUAUCGCCUCUGUACAUCAGCAGGCUGGUGGCUGAAACACCUGUGGCUGCGUUAUUGCGCUCUCCCCAGAAAAUAUGCUGCUCCUGGCAGCAUCCUGACUAGUGAGGCUCCUCCGGCAGUACUGACACCUUCUCGGCAUCCCGUAUGGGUCAGAAAUGCAAUAGACAUAAUGGGAAAGUUUGGAGUAACUUUCAAUUUUGUGUUUGUAUUUUAAAUUUUUUUUUUUUUUAAGUGGUGAACAAGUCGUUGAGAUGGAGAAGUACAGCAUUUUACACAGCACCAUAUUGAUUACUGUAGAUAAGAAACGUGUUGUCUUAUUUGGGCUUUCCCUGGUGGCAGUUUAAAAGCGUUUAAAGAGGCUGCUGCUGGCCGCCCCUGAGGAGACAGCCCCCUUGGUAAUUCAGCUUGGUUGGUGCCAGCUGUGGUACCUGGCACCCUGCCUCAGAAAAAUCCUGUUGGCAAUUUAAAGAACCUGCUGUUGCAUCCCACAGCAUGAGGUGAGUUGCUGCUCCCAUUCUUUUGGGUAGAAAAUGGUUAAAAGCUCCCCAGGAGUGGGCUGGGUGGGUUAGGCAGGCAGCCCAGGUGGGAGGCAGGAGGUCUGCCAUUAUGGAGGGGAGAUAGGCUUAGUGCUGCUUGUCCUCUUGAGGGUGAGGGGUGUGUUGUGUGGCCAAAAGCAGAAAGUUCACAGCAGCGUGUGGUUGUGGGGAAGGGGUGGGGGCACCAUGGAGCCCUGACGGCUGCUGAGAAACGGUGUGGGGGCAGCCUCGGACUGGCAUGGUGGGGCGGCGGCCAUGUUGUAUUGCAUAUAUGCCGGCCCUGGGGCUGAGACCACCUGUGUGAAACCAAACUGUCCAUGGAGCGUUGGCCUCCUGCCUGCAAACUGAGUUUGCGUGUGGCCUUGUGUGCCUCGUAAUCGGUAAGGGUAUGGGAUGGUACAGCUGUUAAGGAGUAGGGGCAUCUAGAACGUGCUAAUUUUUUGCUUUUUGCCUAAACCCAGUGCGUUUCCUUGUCUACCUGUGAUGUCCCCUACGGCAUAGUGCACUAAGGCAGGGGUGGUGUGGGGGGAAGAAGAAACCUGUAAGUCUUUCAUGGAAAAAUAUUCUCCUCUUUCCAGCUAGCUCAAUGGCUUACCUUUAUUAACUUGGAUAAUUUGUUUCAUCCCACAUUAUUUUAAAGACAAACUGACAUAACUGGACUCCAGUUCAGUAAAUCUCAAACUUACCUCAGUUAGAUUUAUGGAACAAAAUCAUUUAUAUAUAAAGCAGCAUUUUAUGUGCUAACAUGAAUAUGGAAAUCUGGGAAAGGAAAAUAUGAAUUCCGAUACUUGAUCUCCUUGAAAUCCUGCAAGUAUAGCUAUAGUGUAUUUCAAAUAACUGCCUUACUGAGGGAAAAUGUCUUAUAUUAUUCAAACCCCUGCUACCUGAUUUGAAUUUAUGACUGUCUAAAUAUGCUCUGUGGCUGAAUUACAAGGCAUGUGUGUAUAUUAAACCUGGUGACUGUGGGAAGUAAGUAACAGUGAUAUGCAACUUAAUGAUCAAAACCAAGAGCUGAUGUGACCAAUGGACUCUAAUAGAUGUAAGUAGUUUGAGUGCUUGUCAUCUAUCCACAUGAUCCUAGUGUUGGCAGCCUGUUGAAAGUGAUGCGUGGGAAACUAGUGCAAAGUGUUGAUUUAUUUUAUGCUAAUGGGGAAAAGUCCAUAUUGUUCAAAUUAAAUCCUAAAGCAGAAACAAAUCAUGCAGCCAAGCCCAUCCUAUGGAGUUUCAUUGAAACAGUUAGUGGUCUCUUUCGUGACCUCAGAGUUGUAAAAAUGAAACAAUGUUAGGGGGCUGCUGUUUUCAAGUGCUUCUGGCUGCUGAAAGCAGCUGAGGUUCUCCUACAGAUGGCUAUUUAAGUUAA
Aquila chrysaetos chrysaetos is the source of this 11580-nucleotide long non-coding RNA. RefSeq lists it as uncharacterized. The record is from RefSeq and is a predicted model, not a curated record. The transcript is spliced from 4 exons. Lineage: Eukaryota; Metazoa; Chordata; Aves; Accipitriformes; Accipitridae.